Molecule: long non-coding RNA, 497 nt
Filed under: Solanum tuberosum (potato)
Lineage: Eukaryota; Viridiplantae; Streptophyta; Magnoliopsida; Solanales; Solanaceae
Description: long non-coding RNA (STUB_LNC007207)
Source: RNAcentral
UCCUGUAGACACUUCCUGUCUUUUAUUAAUCUGUGUUACCUGUGCAGAACUUUUAUCCUCCUGUACAGGCCUGUUAAUGUUGUCAUGUCCAGUGUUUGCUGACUUUCUAUUAUACUCAUCCUGAACUUGACCUUGAGCUGCUGCUGUCUGAGGUCUGCUAUCACCUUUAAUGCCUUUGUAUUUGUCCAGAACCUCUAAACUAGGUGAUGACUCCUGCAUAUCAAGAUUAAUAUAUGUAUUUUGAGUAGGAAUAGUAAUUAUACCUGCCUGUUUGGUGGACUGAUCUGCUUGGCUGGUAUUGUCUCUAGGAGCCUGUGUUUGAUUAUUGUUCCUUUCUCCUUUUGUGUUUGCCACUGAUCAUCUUGUGGAUACUGCAUGUGCUCCUGAUCUCUUUGCUGCUUAUAAUGUUGAUUAUUAUCUUCCUUCUGCUCACUUUCUUUAUAACCCUUAGAUUGUUGCGGAUUAUUAUCCUUAUCUUUAGUAUGCUUGUUCCUCAC